CUAAAAACACCCCUUUUCACACCACUAACAAUAAACAGAUAACAAUCUGUCAGGCAUUCAGAGCUAAACAGGGUACUGAUUAUCAGGGGCAGAUAAGGCUACUGAUAGGGUUUGCCCAGACAUAAGGCUGGAAUGAGGUAUAAGACUUUUGAUUGGUUCAAUUUUUUGCACAGGAAAUUAUUUGAAAACAACAACUUUUGAAAAACAAGCUGGUUUCAGCAAUUAAAUUGAGCUAAAUUAAAUUAACAUUAAGACUUAUAAAAUGUAUUGAAAUACUGUCAGCAUGAAGUAUUGUGUGAUGAAAACAAUGUGUAUUUUACUACAAUUUGGAAAUCAACAAUAAGUUUGUUGGAAAUCAAGUUCAACUGUGUUUUUUGUGAAUAUUGAAGAACAGUUUUAACAGGUUUGUAUUGUCAUUUCUUCAUCCUUUUUGUUAUUUAGUUUACUGAAUUAAUUAUGAUCAUUAUUAUAUUUAUGUAUUGUCACUGGGAAAUGUAAAUUGAUAAGUUAAUGUAUUGCAACUUAAAGGAAAAACAACACAAUUUGAAGCAAAAAUAGAUGAACAUACACAUGACAAAGUGUAAAUGUUGUGUACAGUGAAUUAUUGUGGUUGUGUUUUAUGAUUAUUGUCAUCUUUAUUGUUAUUUAUAGAUAUUUCUGGUUAUUACUGAACAGAUUUCUUUCCCUCAUAUUUUAAUUUUGAAGGUUAAACUCUUGCCCCAAGAGCAAAAUGGGUUAUCAUACUACCUGAUGUAUGGACUUUUACACCAGGCUUUUACCCUGCACAAGCUGGCCAACUUGAGGGGAACUGAAGUGGGCAAACCUCGCCCUGUCCUUGAACAAGAAAGCUGGAUUUGUUGAGAGAGUAUCAUUUAAGCUGAAAUCCAGCAUUAAACAAGGGAGGUGAUGGCCAUCGCACAGGCCAUGUGCCGACUAUUCACUUUCCACCAGCUUGUAACUUGCUCCAUGAAGGGAGCAACAACUACAACUGGGUCACCAAGACCAAGCCUCCCCGCUGCUGAGAGAAAUGCAAUCAUUGAUGUCAUAGCCAAAACCUUUGACAAGCCCCUGGUUGAUGUUGAAGAAAAGAUGAGAGGUUGUUUAAGGCAUCUGCGGCUGAUGCACAAGUAGACUGAAGUCUUUGUAAAUAAAAUGUGCUGUUAAAAUGAUUAUUUAACCAUUGUUUUUACUUUGUUAUAUUGAUUUGCGCCUGUUUCAACAUUAACUUAUUUUUAUGCUCCCGGUAGGGUCUCAUAUAGCAGUUGAACUGUCCGUCUGUCUGUCUAUCCGUCCGAAAACUUCAGCAUUGGUCAUAACUUUUGCAAUAUUGAAGAAAGCAACUUGAUAUUUAGCAUGCAUGUGUAUCUCAUUGAGCUGCACAUUUUGAGUGGUGCAAGGUCAAGGUCAUCCUUCAAGGUCAGAGGUCAAAAUCCAAUGGAAGACAUAAGCAAAGAGAGAUUAUUUCUAAACCUGCCAAAUGAUAAAUAGAAAUUUUAUUUCAAAGCGGCGCAGUAGGGGGCAUUGUGUUUCUGACAAACACAUCUCUUGUUUGUAUUUAUUCCAUACAAUCUUACUUUUUUCAGUUCUUUCUUUGUGUUCAAUGUUAUGUUAUAACACUAUUAUAUUUUAUUAUAACAAUGCCAUGUCUGUCAAAAUAGUUUUAUCAUGCUGUGUAUAUGGAUAUAUAUGUAAAGUUUUAUGUUUUAUCGUUUAAAAAAGUAAUUAGAAUUUAUUCAUGAUAUUUUUGUUCUUAUCAUAAAAAAGUUUUUCAGUUUUCAAGUGGGUGAAAAGUGGGUUUUUACUGAGCAUUUAACAGGUUUUAAAGCUAGUUUUAACUGCGUUUAAUCUGUGAAAAGCAUACAUUUAGCUCACUUAAUGCUCAAAUAAAAACCCACUUUUAACUCGCUUAAGAACAGGAAAAACCGACUUGAUGUGUAGAAGCGGGUGUAAAAGCCAACAUAAAGAAGGAAAACACACUAACUUUUAACCAACUUAAGUUGGUAAAACUCGGUUUUAAAGCGUGUUUUAACUGCGUUAAAUCUGAGUUAAGCACACAUUUAGCUCACUUAACACUCAAACAAAAACCCACUUUUUAACUCGCUUAAGAACAGGAAAAACCGACUUGAUGUGUAGAAGCGGGUUUAAAAGCCAACAUAGAGAAGGAAAACACACUCACUUUUAACCCACUUAAGUUGGUUUAAGUUAGUUUUAGUUGGUUUAAGUUGGUAUAAGAAGGUAUAAGCGUGUUGGUUUAUGUGAGUGAAAUCCAGGUUUUACCUACAAAAAACCAAGUCGGUAAGCAAAAAGUGUGUUUAAAAGACACGCUUUAACCCGGUGCCAAUACCGCAGGGUUUAACACGGUUUUAACACGGAUUAAAACCGGGUUUUGCCCACUUUUUUGA
Long non-coding RNA from Dreissena polymorpha, 2402 nucleotides. RefSeq lists it as uncharacterized. The record is from RefSeq and is a predicted model, not a curated record. The transcript has 3 exons. NCBI's taxonomy places the organism in Eukaryota, Metazoa, Mollusca, Bivalvia, Myida, Dreissenidae.